AGUGAGAUGCAAAAGGCCUGUCGUUUUACUUGUUGAAGGUUUUAUUUCCUUUGCUCCUUCUCUCUGUCUAAAACCCACAUUGGAAUCAUCUCUUUUUUCUAUUUUUAUCACCUAAAAUUAUUACAAUCUACUUCAUCAAGUCGCCAAAGAAUUGAAGUACUUUAGAUAUCAUUCACCAAAUAAAUCAAGAUCUGAUUUACAAGUGUUUCACCACCACUUAAGGCGGGAUUCGGUUGACCACACAGCAACAACGGCUAUAGUUCGAUUUUUCUUUUUCUUUUUACGGCAUAGUUCGAUUUUCUUCUUCAAUUAUUCAAAGGAAGUUUCAAUAAGACGGGAAAAACUAAUGGCCCUAAAAUUUGAUGAAUGAAGGGAGAGGCAAGGCUACGCUGGUGGUCUAAGCUUGCGGAAGCGGUGGAUUCGUACUAUGGUUUGCAGGUGCCCCGAAUCAUGGUUGGGUGAUUGAUUAAGCAGAGAUGUGCAUAUGCUAAACAGAAAUCUCACUUGGAAAUAGUACUCAAGCUCCAUAUUGAUGCAACUAUAUUUGUAAUUUUUAGUGAAGUUAAAUAAUUUUAUUUUUAUUAUUAUGAUUCAAUCUAAUUUAUGUUGAUUUUGAUUGUAUAUCAUGAAUUCUAUUUAGUCCAAUGUUAUUCCGCCAAUUUGAAUUCAACAUAAAAAUACAAAUUUCAAAUGCGAAUUGUACGUAUGAAAUGUAAUUUAUUUUUUUUAAUUUUCAAAAAUACAACAAAGAGACCCAUUAUCUAACGUAACAGG
Molecule: long non-coding RNA, 774 nt
Organism: Chenopodium quinoa (quinoa)
Lineage: Eukaryota; Viridiplantae; Streptophyta; Magnoliopsida; Caryophyllales; Amaranthaceae
Exons: 4
Source: RefSeq, a predicted model, not a curated record